AACGAACGCUGUCGGCAGGCCUAACACAUGCAAGUCGAGCGCGCCUUCGGGUGAGCGGCGGACGGGUGAGUAACGCGUGGGAAUAUGCCCUUCUCUACGGAAUAGUUCUGGGAGACUGGGGGUAAUACCGUAUACGCGUUUUGGGGCAAAGAUUUAUCGGGAAAGGAUUAGCCCGCGUUGGAUUAGGGAUUUGGUGUGUUAAUGGCCUACGAAGCAGACGAUCCAUAGCUGGUUUGAGAGGAUGAUCAGUCACACUGGUACUGAGACACAGCCCAGACUCCUAGGGAAAGCAGAAGUGAUGAAUCCAGGACUACCGGGUCUACACUGAUCUAGCCAUGCCUCGUGAGCAAUGUAGGCCAUAGGGUUAUAAAUCUCUUUCAGCCGGGAAGAUGAUGACGUUACCAGCAGAAGAAGCCCCGGCUAACUCCGUG
RNAcentral lists this ribosomal RNA (431 nucleotides) under uncultured bacterium. Its description in RNAcentral is "partial 16S ribosomal RNA". It matches the Rfam family "Bacterial small subunit ribosomal RNA", at positions 29 to 507 of the family's 1533-position model. The record is from RNAcentral.